This 802-nucleotide ribosomal RNA is filed under the name uncultured euryarchaeote. RNAcentral describes it as "bacterial SSU rRNA". It matches the Rfam family "Archaeal small subunit ribosomal RNA", at positions 52 to 859 of the family's 1478-position model. The record is from RNAcentral. Lineage: Archaea; Methanobacteriati; Methanobacteriota.
UGCGAGUCGAGAGGGUUCGGCCCUCGGCUGACGGCUCAGUAACACGUGGAUAAUCUGCCCUAAGGUGGAGGAUACCCUCGGGAAACUGAGAAUAAUACUCCAUAGGUCUAGGAUGCUGGAAUGCACUUAGACUCAAAGCUCUGGCGCCUUAGGAUGAGUCUGCGGACUAUCAGGUUGUAGUCAGGGUAAUGACCUGACUAGCCUACGACGGAUACGGGUUGUGAGAGCAAUAACCCGGAGAUGAUAUCUGAGACACGAUAUCAGGCCCUACGGGGCGCAGCAGGCGCGAAAACUUCACAAUGUGCGAAAGCACGAUGAGGGAAUCCCAAGUGCUUGCUCGUUAGAGUAAGCUGUUUCUAUGUUUAAAACGCAUGGAGAGUAAGGGCUGGGUAAGACGGGUGCCAGCCGCCGCGGUAAUACCUGCAGCUCUAGUGGUGACCGCUAUUAUUGGGCCUAAAACGUCCGUAGCCGGUUUAAUAAAUGCCUGGGUAAAUCGUGUAGCUUAGCUAUACGAAUUCCGGGUAGACUGUUAAACUUGAGACCGGGAGAAGUUAGAGGUACUCCUGGGGUAGAGGUGAAAUUCUGUAAUCCUAGGGGGACCACCAGUGGCGAAGGCGUCUGACUAGAACGGGUCUGACGGUGAGGGACGAAGCCCUGGGGCGCAAACCGGAUUAGAUACCCGGGUAGUCCAGGGUGUAAACGCUGCUUGCUUGAUGUUAGUCGGGCUCCGAGCCCGAUUAGUGUCGGAGAGAAGUUGUUAAGCAAGCUGCCUGGGAAGUACGGUCGCAAGACUGAAACUUAA